Molecule: ribosomal RNA, 460 nt
Filed under: uncultured bacterium
Lineage: Bacteria
Description: partial 16S ribosomal RNA
Rfam family: Bacterial small subunit ribosomal RNA
Source: RNAcentral
CCUACGGGUGACAGCAGUGAGGAAUAGUGGUCAAUGGGCGGAAGCCUGAACCAGCCAAGUAGCGUGCAGGAUGACGGCCCUACGGGUUGUAAACUGCUUUUAUACGGGAAUAACGCGCCUUACGUAUAGGGCUUUGCAUGUACCGGAUGCAUAAGGAACGGCUAAUUCCGUGCCAGCAGCCGAGGUAAUACGGAAGGACCGGGCGUGAGUCGGGUUUAGUGGGUUUAAAGGGAGCGUAGGCCGCAUGUCAAACGUGCUGUGAAAUUUCCGUGCUCAACCCUGGGCUUGCAGCGAGAACUGGCGUGCUUGAGUCCGCGGAAAGCAGGCGGAAUUCGUCGUGUAGCGGUGAAAUGCUUAGAUAUGACGAAGAACCCCGAUUGCGAAGGCAGCUUGCUGCAGCGGAACUGACGCUGAUGCUCGAAAGCGCGGGUAUCGAACAGGAUUAGAUACCCCUGUAGUC